ACUUCAAGAUGUGCCAUUCAUG
This 22-nucleotide microRNA is filed under the name Pteropus alecto (black flying fox). Lineage: Eukaryota; Metazoa; Chordata; Mammalia; Chiroptera; Pteropodidae. The record is from RNAcentral.